RNAcentral lists this long non-coding RNA (377 nucleotides) under Musa acuminata (dwarf banana). Its description in RNAcentral is "long non-coding RNA (MACU_LNC005923)". Lineage: Eukaryota; Viridiplantae; Streptophyta; Magnoliopsida; Zingiberales; Musaceae. The record is from RNAcentral.
UACGCCGGCGCUGUGGUCCGGGCGGUGAUGUUCGCUUGCGACCGAAAGCGUGUACGUCAUCCGAUCAUUUGCAGCGAGAGCGGUCGAGCGCUCGUGUCGCACCAGUCGGUGCUCAUCUUCGAAGCGGUCUCAUCCAACGCCACCAGAGCUGCGCCGUUGUCGUCCGUCGGCCCAAACUCUGCAUUGUUUCUCGACGAGCUGGCGGACGAUGCUCGUUCCGAUUACAACAACUUGAUGGCGGCUGCCUACUGCGGCGAGUACGAGACCUGCGCUGUGUAUGCUAACCAGUUGAAGCAGAGAUGCAUCGACCAUUUCAAGGACGGAGUUCUCGGCCUCGAACACCUGGCGGCCGUCGACGGUCUCUGCGACCUCGUGGC